UCCUGGCUCAGGAUGAACGCUGGCGGCGUGCCUAACACAUGCAAGGUCGAACGGGGUGUCUGAUCUUCGGACUGGACACUUAGUGGCGGACGGGUGAGUAACGCGUGGGUAACCUGCCUCAUACAGGGGGAUAGCAGUUGGAAACGACUGAUAAUACCGCAUAAGCGCACAGUACCGCAUGGUACAGUGUGAAAAACUCCGGUGGUAUGAGAUGGACCCGCGUCUGAUUAGCUUGUUGGCGGGGUAACGGCCCACCAAGGCGACGAUCAGUAGCCGGCCUGAGAGGGUGAACGGCCACAUUGGGACUGAGACACGGCCCAAACUCCUACGGGAGGCAGCAGUGGGGAAUAUUGCACAAUGGGGGAAACCCUGAUGCCAGCGACGCCGCGUGAAGGAUGAAGUAUUUCGGUAUGUAAACUUCUAUCAGCAGGGAAGAUGAUGACGGUACCUGACUAAGAAGCCCCGGCUAACUACGUGCCAGCCGCAGC
This 488-nucleotide ribosomal RNA is filed under the name uncultured bacterium. Its description in RNAcentral is "bacterial SSU rRNA". It matches the Rfam family "Bacterial small subunit ribosomal RNA", at positions 17 to 518 of the family's 1533-position model. The record is from RNAcentral.